ACUCCUACGGGAGGCAGCAGUGGGGAAUAUUGCACAAUGGGCGCAAGCCUGAUGCAGCCAUGCCGCGUGUGUGAAGAAGGCCUUCGGGUUGUAAAGCACUUUCAGCGAGGAGGAAGGUGGUGAACUUAAUACGUUCAUCAAUUGACGUUACUCGCAGAAGAAGCACCGGCUAACUCCGUGCCAGCAGCCGCGGUAAUACGGAGGGUGCAAGCGUUAAUCGGAAUUACUGGGCGUAAAGCGCACGCAGGCGGUUUGUUAAGUCAGAUGUGAAAUCCCGCC
RNAcentral lists this ribosomal RNA (279 nucleotides) under uncultured bacterium. RNAcentral's name for it is "partial 16S ribosomal RNA". It matches the Rfam family "Bacterial small subunit ribosomal RNA", at positions 335 to 606 of the family's 1533-position model. The record is from RNAcentral.